Molecule: long non-coding RNA, 965 nt
Organism: Ostrea edulis (European flat oyster)
Lineage: Eukaryota; Metazoa; Mollusca; Bivalvia; Ostreida; Ostreidae
Exons: 3
Source: RefSeq, a predicted model, not a curated record
AUUACUGGCUUGUGUUAUGUAAUUGUCAUUUUUUGUGUAAAAGCUUAAAAUGUCAGAAUUAAGAACUUACUCUUAUCUAAGCAACAUAUGUGACCAAAGUAUUUUCCUGAAUGUUUCAGAAUCUCCUCAUAAAAUGGGAAAUACUUAUAGUGGGUGUUGUUUUGUAAGAAUUAACAGAAAAGAUAAAACAUUGCUGAAUCAUCAUUUUCUGUUUAUAAUGGAAUGUGUCCAGCUAUAUUGACCGCUGGUCCAACAAUGGACAUCUAUCAUGCCAACGCUUGACAAGAAACGGACGACCGCGCGCACCUUGCUGCUGCUUCAGGCGUUUCGAAGUUAACCAUAAAACAUCCUAGGGUCUUCACAAGGACUCUGAAGCAACCUGUAAUGAAGAGAUUAACUUCCUAGCCAGGUGAAUAGUUUCGUGUCUUUUCCACAUUCUUGAUGUAAUGGAGUCAGGAGUCCACACCGUACUGUGUACCAUUUUGCUUCCUUGAUAUUUAGCCUUAUUGUUCACGAAUCAGCAGUUGAUACGGAAGGUCUCGCUUGUCUCCAUGGUAAUAUGACAUGAGACAGUGUGUCCUCCCUUGUCACGUGAUUCAUAUUCAACGACUUUUAAGCAUCUUUGGAGAUUUGAUAUGCUAAAGUUGGAACACUCUCAUUAAAUUAAAAUGCAUGUAUAUCAGAUAGGAUAUAGAUAUGGCGACUGCUCUCAGGGUGGGAAUGCUGUCACGUGAUCAAAGCACUACAUGAGACAGUGUGUCCUCCCUAAGGUUCAGAUUUAGCCAGAUGCUGCUAUAACCCGGAUGAUAGUGAAUCAUAUAUCAUGCAACUUUAUUCUGACCUUUGAAUAGUCGUAUAUAUAUAAUUACUAUACAAACUGUAUGCCAAUAAAAUGUCAAAAUGAAGUAGUUGUUCAUUGAAGUGUGUCUCUUACAUGUUGGUGUAUCAACUGUUUAGUUGUCAGU